GCCAAUUGAUAGAAAAGUUCUCUGGAUAGUAAAUUUUUGACAGCUAUGAGGUGAAUAAAAAUGUUUGAUACGGCAGGGCUAGUGAAAAAUUUGACAGCAAGCAUUAUCAAGAAGAAGAACGAACAACGCACGUAUACACAUAAAUUAAAGAAAACAAAAGCUAGUGGAAAUAAAAGAACAUGGUGCCGCCGGCAAAAAAAAAUAAAGAAAAGCUAUAUAACUUGGAGCAGUUCAGAACGCAGAAUCCUUCUGGAAAAGCGCAUUGACAAGGAUGUUUGGUUCA
Molecule: long non-coding RNA, 283 nt
Organism: Rhagoletis pomonella (apple maggot)
Lineage: Eukaryota; Metazoa; Arthropoda; Insecta; Diptera; Tephritidae
Exons: 2
Source: RefSeq, a predicted model, not a curated record